This 453-nucleotide ribosomal RNA is filed under the name uncultured Porphyromonadaceae bacterium. RNAcentral describes it as "partial 16S ribosomal RNA". It matches the Rfam family "Bacterial small subunit ribosomal RNA", at positions 341 to 792 of the family's 1533-position model. Lineage: Bacteria; Pseudomonadati; Bacteroidota; Bacteroidia; Bacteroidales; Porphyromonadaceae. The record is from RNAcentral.
ACGGAAGGCAGCAGUGAGGAAUAUUGGUCAAUGGGCGGAAGCCUGAACCAGCCAAGUCGCGUGAAGGAAGAAGGUAUUAUGUAUUGUAAACUUCUUUAGCAGCAGAGAAAUAAGGUGGACGUGUCCACUGACGCUAGUAUGCUGAGAAUAAGCAUCGGCUAACUCCGUGCCAGCAGCCGCGGUAAUACGGAGGAUGCGAGCGUUAUCCGGAUUUAUUGGGUUUAAAGGGUGCGCAGGCGGUCUUUUAAGUCAGUGGUCAAAUCGUGGUGCUCAACGCCAUCCCGCCAUUGAUACUGGGAGACUUGAUUGCGGUUGAGGUAGGCGGAAUUCGUCGUGUAGCGGUGAAAUGCAUAGAUAUGACGAAGAACACCGAUUGCGUAGGCAGCUUACCAAGCCGUAAAUGACGCUCAUGCACGAAAGUGCGGGGAUCGAACAGGAUUAGAUACCCUGGUA